Molecule: ribosomal RNA, 253 nt
Filed under: uncultured bacterium
Lineage: Bacteria
Description: partial 16S ribosomal RNA
Rfam family: Bacterial small subunit ribosomal RNA
Source: RNAcentral
UACGAAGGGGGCUAGCGUUGUUCGGAUUUACUGGGCGUAAAGCGCACGUAGGCGGAUCGUUAAGUCGGGGGUGAAAUCCUGGAGCUCAACUCCAGAACUGCCUUCGAUACUGGCGAUCUUGAGUCCGGAAGAGGUGAGUGGAACUCCUAGUGUAGAGGUGGAAUUCGUAGAUAUUAUGAAGAACACCAGUGGCGCAGGCGGCUCACUGGUCCGGUACUGACGCUGAGGUGCGAAAGCGUGGGGAGCAAACAGG